CCGUCUCUUUGCAUCUCUCCCUAUCUCUUUUUAUUUCUUUUUUCCUUCUUCUCUCGUUCUUUUUUUCCUCCUUCCUCUGUCAAUCUCUGCAAUUUUUUUUUUCUCUUCUCCCUAUUUUGCAUCAUCUCCCAUAUCUCUCUCUUAUUUCUAUUUUUUUCUUCGCUUUCUCUUCUCUUCCUUCUUCUCCUUUUUCUUCCCGCUGUCUCCGUCUUCUUCUUUUUCUAUUUUUUCCUUCUUCUUCUUCCUCUCUCUCCUAUCUCAAUCUCUCCCACGGUCUAUUUCUUUUUCCUAGCUUCUUCUUGCUCUCUUCCUCUUCAGCCUAAAACCUAAAUAGAACCAUAUCAUACCACCAACUCCGGUUAACCAGAUUGGUUGGUUUCACCGAUUAUGGUCCGGUGUACGGUUCCAAAAUAACUAAUCUGAAGCCUUCGGUUCAAUGUCUGGGUUGAGCCCAAAAUCGAACCAACCCAUACCGAGCCCAUGUUUAGAACAAAUAAUCC
Molecule: long non-coding RNA, 500 nt
Filed under: Prunus persica (peach)
Lineage: Eukaryota; Viridiplantae; Streptophyta; Magnoliopsida; Rosales; Rosaceae
Description: long non-coding RNA (PPER_LNC004888)
Source: RNAcentral